Molecule: ribosomal RNA, 256 nt
Filed under: uncultured bacterium
Lineage: Bacteria
Description: partial 16S ribosomal RNA
Rfam family: Bacterial small subunit ribosomal RNA
Source: RNAcentral
UACGGGGGGGGGUAAGCGUUGUUCGGAAUUACUGGGCGUAAAGGGCUCGUAGGCGGCCAACUAAGUCAUACGUGAAAUCCCUCAGCUUAACUGGGGAACUGCGUGUGAUGCUGGAUGGCUUGGAUUUGGGAGAGGGAUGCGGAAUUCCAGGUGUAGCGGUGAAAUGCGUAGAUAUCUGGAGGAACACCGGUGGCGAAGGCGGCAUCCUGGACCAAUAUUGACGCUGAGGAGCGAAAGCUAGGGGGAGCAAAACGGG